CAGCAACCGAGUGCCGGCAAAAGAAAUCUGCAUUCAUAAUCCUUCUGGCCGAUCCUUCCACAUUGGUAGCAGAACAACUCAUACACAAAAAAGCCUACCUGAACGCCUAAUCCACGCCUAAUCCUAUACCCUAAUUAGAAUCCUGGUUUAAGAGGUUCCAAGGCAGUGAUCUCCAUUUUAACCCUCACAUAACCAACCUUCUCUAACCGAUCUAAGAACCCACCCGCAGCAAGGGGUAAGCUGGUCACCGCAACGAUGCUCAAGAUGGAGCCAAUUUCCCAGAACUCCAACGGCAACCUCGGCAGUCUUUACCAAUAUUGUCUAAUCAGGGAACCCACGACUCCAUUACCAUUAACUGCCCGAUGAUCAGACAGCAUUCUAAUCAUCCUCAGAUUUGAAUCAGAAAACAAUGGGGUCUUCAGCAGAAGCCAAUCUGCAGAAACCCUCCACCAAGUCUUCGACAAAUAACUGCGAACAUCUCCCAUGCACGCCUCAACGCCUCUGUCAAAUAUCGCUCGAGAUUUACAAUCACCUCAGCGGAUAUCCUGUGGUUUGUCCAACUAGACUGCCGCGGACUGCCCUACGCCACCUUGGCCUAUGAGCGGUUCCCUUCUACAGACCUCGUGUGCACCCGCCCCUACCACCAGAAGAUCCCUCUAUAGAUUUGCCGCGUUGAUCUCCCAUUCCUGCACGCCUACCAUUUGUUCGAAGAAAGUUCGGAAAGUAGCAUGGAUUUUGAUGCAGAUGCGCACAGGAGAGUGAACCCUCUUAAUUUUUUAAAGCUUGUUCAAAAUUCUUCGAAUGGCAAGCCCACCUCAUCAACUACUCCAGUCCUUGGCAUCAUGCCCCUAUAAGAAUUUCUGUGAAACAUACCAAGCUAGCAUCGAGGCCACUCAACAUAACAGACAGUGGAAAUCUACAG
This 922-nucleotide long non-coding RNA is filed under the name Elaeis guineensis (African oil palm). Its description in RNAcentral is "long non-coding RNA (EGUI_LNC009596)". Lineage: Eukaryota; Viridiplantae; Streptophyta; Magnoliopsida; Arecales; Arecaceae. The record is from RNAcentral.